Molecule: long non-coding RNA, 463 nt
Organism: Populus euphratica (Euphrates poplar)
Lineage: Eukaryota; Viridiplantae; Streptophyta; Magnoliopsida; Malpighiales; Salicaceae
Exons: 3
Source: RefSeq, a predicted model, not a curated record
UUAGGUAUAUUUUAUUCCAUUAUCUUAUCUGAUCACCUGCAUUUUGUAUGUGCUUUGUUUUUCCACCCAAGUUUUGAACUUCCAGAAGAUGUCAGCAACUUUAAAUUUAUAAUUCAUGAAAUAAAUCCAGCACAUUCUUGUAUGAUCAUCAAUGAUGAUCUCUUCAGGUUUUAUUUUGUGGAAAAGGAAGUCUUGUCUGUUUCCUAUACUGGCAGGCUACACACAAAGAAAGUUCUUCUUUUAAAUCAGGAACUGUGACAAGAAUUUUUUGAACAAUUCUAGAAUCAGAGAAAUUAGGACCAAGAAGCCUUACUUUGUUUACAAUGUCAAGAAGUCUAUCAGAGUAAUCCUUCAUGGUUUCUGAUUCAUUCAUUCUUUGCACCUCAAAUUCUCUGAUUAGAUGUAGAACUUGCAUGCCCUUCACUGAUUCAUUCCCUUCAUACUUCUUUAUCAUGAAGUUUUU